Molecule: non-coding RNA, 269 nt
Organism: Pelobates cultripes (western spadefoot toad)
Lineage: Eukaryota; Metazoa; Chordata; Amphibia; Anura; Pelobatidae
Source: the annotation of a GenBank genome assembly
GGGAGGGACGGCACAGGGACACCACAGUGUUAGGAAUACAACUGUAUUCCUUACACUGCUUCUUUUAAUAUCCUAUAGUAUUUCUCCCUUCCGCUCUAGAAAUACUGCUGUAUAGAAUGUUGUGACUUGGGUUUUUGGGAAUUGUAGUAAGUUUGUUAGCUUUCUACAGUAGAAAAUUGACAAAUGAAUUAGAACUCCCAGAAAUCUUUGCUGUGCACAUAAACCACUGCUUAUGGGAUAUGUUCAACAGUGCUAUUAAAAGUUGCGAG